Molecule: long non-coding RNA, 485 nt
Filed under: Olea europaea subsp. europaea
Lineage: Eukaryota; Viridiplantae; Streptophyta; Magnoliopsida; Lamiales; Oleaceae
Source: RNAcentral
UGGUAAAACCCAUUUUUCAUCCAAACAUUCUAUGGACCCACAAGUUAUUACCCACUUUUUAUCUACACAUUACGUGGGACCUGCAGCUUAAAUUAUAAUUGAAGCACUCCCAAACAAACACAAAGUAUAAUGUACCAAACAUGCACUGUUCUUAUGACAAAUCAUGGAAUAACUGAAGCCAGUAAAAAUUAUGUAAAUUUGAAGACCAUUUAAACUUUCAAAAUUUUCCCCUUGCUCUUCAACCCUCGCCAAAAUAAGUUACAUUUUAGAUAUUUCUGCUCCAGUAAUUAUGAUAAUGAGACAAGAACAGUUGCCUCUCAUUUCCAUGCAAAUUUUAAAAUAAAAAAACUUUUAGAGAUGGAAUACAAAGAGUAGUUAUUUGUAAAACAUAGCAGCCACAACUACCAAGAAUUGAAAUUUCUGUGACCCCAUGGAUAAAACAUGAUCAAUUGCCUUUUCCCCGAAGGCUUUGCAGUUGAUGUUCA